RNAcentral lists this ribosomal RNA (450 nucleotides) under uncultured bacterium. Its description in RNAcentral is "bacterial SSU rRNA". It matches the Rfam family "Bacterial small subunit ribosomal RNA", at positions 354 to 796 of the family's 1533-position model. The record is from RNAcentral.
GUGGGGAAUAUUGGACAAUGGGCGAAAGCCUGAUCCAGCAAUGCCGCGUGGGUGAAGACGGCCUGCGGGUUGUAAAGCCCUUUAGGUGGGGAGGAAAGGCGGGACGUGAACAGCGUUUCGCACUGACGUUACCCACGGAAUAAGCACCGGCUAACUCCGUGCCAGCAGCCGCGGUAAUACGGAGGGUGCGAGCGUUAAUCGGAAUUACUGGGCGUAAAGCGUGCGUAGGCGGUUUGGUCAGUCAGCCGUGAAAGCCCCGGGCUUAACCUGGGAACGGCGGUUGAGACGGCCAGACUUGAGUGGGCUAGAGGAUCGUGGAAUUCCCGGUGUAGCAGUGAAAUGCGUAGAGAUCGGGAGGAACACCGAUGGCGAAGGCAGCGAUCUGGGGCCACACUGACGCUGAGGCACGAAGGCGUGGGGAGCAAACAGGAUUAGAAACCCCUGUAGUCC